AAAAGUCAUAUCAUUGUCACGGACGGUCGUGAGACACCAAAUCCUGCAGGAAAGACAACGAGACAGAGGAAUAGAUCAAGCCUCAAUCAGGAUGCGGUGAUAUAAAAGCUUGAUCUCUGCAUGUAGGGAACGAUGCAGCGGCACUUUAGUGGGUCCACCUUUCUCAUUCCCUAGUGCUUAUACACUAUCCACGUUCUCACCAUCAUCUCAGACACUUUUUGUUGUUUGUUGUUACGAACAACAAUACAAUAGGAUCAUGUAAAAUACCAGUGCAACUGCACCUGGGAUGUCCUCCGUGUGACGUCACCGAGCGACACAACCGCUCACUUCUCAUAGGAAUAACCAACAUUUCGGCCCAACCAACGAAUUAUCACCUGAAUAGCCUAAACAAUGGAAAUCUACUUCAGUGAUACCGUGAUGCUGAAGAUCAGUUAGAAGGUACACCUGUAUUUCCCAUAAAGUAAAAUAAAAAAAAUAAAAGUGGUGGACGAUGCAGAUGCAGAUGCCUAAAUCCGUCACUGCCAAGAAAACCAGUUUAAAACAGAGCGCACGCUCUAACCUGAUUGGUUGCUUGCUGCGUGCUUGACCGACUUGGAAAACAAUGAAGAUGAGCAUGCUGCUGAUGAGGAGCGCUAGAAGAAGCAGGAGAGAGAUCCAGGCUCCGGGAUGCAGGGCUCGUCUCAAAUGUACACUCUCUUCGGG
This is a long non-coding RNA of Silurus meridionalis, 702 nucleotides long. RefSeq lists it as uncharacterized. The transcript has 4 exons. The record is from RefSeq and is a predicted model, not a curated record. Lineage: Eukaryota; Metazoa; Chordata; Actinopteri; Siluriformes; Siluridae.